GCCUCAGCCUCUGCUGUCACUGAUCUCUCCAUCUUGUCUCUGCCUUCUUCUCUGUGUCUCCCCUCUCUCUGGCCUACCUUAUCUUCCCCUUUCCCUACUUGCUUUUCCCCCAGACAUUAUAGAAGAGAGUUCCUUAGGUCGUAGGCUAGUCCAGAUGGCUUUGCAUUUCAACUGUUGCUCAAAGAGAGCUUGUUGGUUCCCCACAGAUACAUAUUUAAGUGUAAUUUGGGGAAUCAAAAGCACUCUUUGCUCUUCCUUCAACAUCACCUUCUCUUAGCUACCUCAGAGCUGCGCAGUCUGCACUCCUCCCAACAAAUGCCAAUCAUUCAAUGACUUGCUAAAAAGAGAGCACACACUAGUGAGGGUAGGAAGGUCAAGGGAAAUGCAGUAUUGACAUCAGGAGUUUCAUUUUUUUCUGUUCAGAACCUGUAUGAACUGUACUAUGCACUCUCUAUUUAGGAGCCUCUGUUGGUACACACCCUGCUUGUCAAAUAGAAAAUUUAGAAGAGUCUUUUCCUCUCUUCCCUCAGAAAUGUGUGGUCCCUGAGUCAGUUGACAUUUAUGGCAAUGAUUGUUGGGAAUUUCCAAUGGAGUCUUGAAUCUCAUCACCAUUCCCUUUUCCCAAGAGAGACAACUAGAGGGGCUCCUCCCCACGACCCCACUCCAGCAAUCACAACAACAGUUAUGUAUAACGUACACGGUUCACCCAGGGCCUAACCAUGCCACAACCCAUUCUACUUCUCACCUGUUCCCUCCUUUUUUACCUCACUUCUAACAGGCUCUAUCAAAGACACUUGCAAGGGCAGCCUCUCCCCAUUCCUACUUCCCAUCCUUUGGGUUUCCAGCUGCAGAAUAUACCAGCACCCUCUCUUUACUUCAAUUCUUCCCUCUCAUUCCCCCAAUGAAGGAGUGGCUUCUGCAAUUCUCAUAAUCACAGUGGGGAGAGAAACAGACAACUAGAAUGGCCUAUUUUCCUGGCACUCUUUUAGUUCUCCACUCACUGCCUCCUACUGCCUUUGAACUACCAGACUUAAACCCCCCUCCCCUCCCAAAGGGAGCAAUAAUAAUAGCUAGCACUUACUGAGUGACAACUAUGUACCAAGCAUGGUUUGCUCAGCUUUUCUGGGACUCCAGCUCUCAGUCCUUGUGACACUCUCUCUCCUUUGUCAAACUUUCCAUCUCUCAACUCCCUGUCUCAUCUCUCUUUAUCUCCAACUCCAUCUUCUAACCAGUUAUGGGGUGAUCCACUGUCAUUCUUCCAGGGACCCCAUCUUAUGUGACUACACCCUUCAAGGAUGGGCCACUCCUUUUAUCUGACCAUCACUAGCUACUCUCAGGAAUUAUCUCAUGGUCCAGGCUACCUUUUUCACCAUCCAAGCCAGCUGUUACCACAAGCACUGCCUCAUCACCCCAUUGCCAGUUUAGCCCCGAUUCCUGGACCUUAAGAGUCCCCAGAAGUGACCCCAUCCUUUUCCCCAGGUCCCAGAACCUAUCCAGGCCCCAAGAAUGGCCACAGCAUUUCACACAGGUUACAAGAACUGCAAUAAGCACUUUUGACUCCAGUCUUCUGCUGCCUGACUCCUCUGUCCCCAUUCCUGGCCAUCUUUCCCUCCCUCCUGCCCACUCACUUGCCCACCAACUGUUUAGCAAAGCAAAACCCCCUUUAUUAAGUGAUUCAUUCAAUACGACACUCUUAUUUUCUCUUGAAGGGUUCGUUUGUACUUUUAGAGCCCCAAACGCAUUCUUUCUUUGGGGCCGAAAAUUGCUUUACACCCUUUACUGAGAAGACGCUGGAUUUUGAGUGUGAAAAAUGGCUGAAUCAACUUCGGAAAAAAAGAAAACCGUUACCCCAGGAUCUCGCGAAGCAAGAACUGACUAGUAACUGUUACCACGCUUCCAAGGCUCAUCAUUCAUUGGGCUAUUGACCUGUCAAUCACUUCUGCUAGGCCAAUGAGCAGCAAUCCCUGACACAAACUGAGGUUGGAGGACAGGCCAAUCGCUCCCGGCUAUUUGAGCCACUGGAGAAGUUCCUGAUGCCCACACCUGCUGGUCUCACUGCCAGGGCCUGGACGUCACAGGCUUGGGGAAUGGGGAGGGGACGGUAGCAUCAGCCUAGACCCACACGCAGUUUCCUGAUAAAAGGUCCUUUUGAAACAUUCAUUCUCUUCUCACCAAUUUGAAUGGAGAUGUGUUCCCAUAGUAAGAGUGAGGGCCCUGCAUUUGCUGCCCUCGGUUUUCCCAACCAACACCAAGGCCUCUCCCCGUACCCCAUUCAUACGCCUCAGAAGCUGACAAUGACUGUUGGACUUUUCCAGUGAAUACCAUUUCCUGCAGCCUGAAAAGAAGACAGUACAAUUAUUUGGCAGCGAGAGGCCAAGCAAGAAACCAGAGACAUGGUGAUGGCAGUGGCCCCAAGGAGGAGCUUUAAACCUGAGCACCACUCACAGGCGGCAGACCACCCUCCCAGCACCAGUGCAAACGAAUGUCGGCCCCCACCCAGGUCCUCAAGUGCUUUCCCAGUCAUGCCCCAGCUGCCAGGUUUGUUCUCCAGGCCUACUACAGAUGGGUUACCCUGACUCCACCCCCAACACCCUCCAAUGAUUAGAACCACUGACUCCUCCCUCCCUUGCCUGCCUCCAUGGCAGGCCCCUGCAGAAACCAAACAUAGUCACCUUAGACUCUGGCAUACUGAGACCAGGGCUUGAUCCUGGACCUCUUGCCUGCCUGGCAAUUUAUCAUUUAAUAAAAAUAUUGCUAAAGAAUA
Non-coding RNA from Macaca mulatta (Rhesus monkey), 2764 nucleotides. NCBI's taxonomy places the organism in Eukaryota, Metazoa, Chordata, Mammalia, Primates, Cercopithecidae. The record is from RefSeq and is a predicted model, not a curated record.